CUAAACUACAGCACCCACCUCUAUUAAAUCCCAGUCCACCCCCAUAUACUAAAUCCCAGCACCCCCCUCUAGCCAACAAGCAGACUCUACUCACAUUGCCGCUGCCAGUAUAAGACUCCGGAGUCAGACCUCUGGUAUACCCCAAAUGGCGCCGUCCGCACCCUGUGCCAAAGCGGAUCCUCCUGUUACUUCUCGAAAACCUAUGAAGGUGGAGCACGUCGACGUCACGGAAUGUGACGUGGAGUUGCGUGCCUACGUGAACCUCCAGGUCCUCCACUGUCAAGCUUUUGCCAUUGCAACACUGACCGACACACACAUUUACACAUUCUUGCACACACACCUAUUGUAUUUAUCCCUAGGGUCCAGUGGGGAUCUUCUAUCUAUAUGACGUCCUAUUCCGGAGCACAGCAUCACUACAGACUGCGCACACGAGGGAGCAGUGAGGAACAGGAAGGCUGAGCUCCCUCGCUGCAUCCACCUUACUCUCCUCCCUGGCUGAGUAAAUGUUAGUAGAGUAGGCACCUGCAAUGAGGGGAGAGCAGCUGCCUACUCGGCUUGGAACAGCAAGCAUGUACUCGUGGCUCGCCGGGCCACAAAGAUGUCCAUUGCGGGCCGCGGGUUUGACAUGCUUGCUGUACAUGUGAAGAUAAGAAAGAAUGGUGAGAGCACUCAAUACAGAAUAAUACAUUUUUAC
Non-coding RNA from Pelobates cultripes (western spadefoot toad), 694 nucleotides. NCBI's taxonomy places the organism in Eukaryota, Metazoa, Chordata, Amphibia, Anura, Pelobatidae. The record is from the annotation of a GenBank genome assembly.